GAGUAAAAGCAAAAAUCGCUAGCGCCGCAUAAGUUGUCUUCCUCAUCCAGAUUCCAAAAAGAAAAAAAAGGUGUGAAAUUAUCUUCUUCUUUGAUUUUCUUUUCCUCCAUAGCUCCAUUAGCUCCAUAACACAUUAAACUCAUGACUGUCGACCACAUCCAUAGCCACCGUUUUUAUCACCUGCGUCGAACAUCGAAAUCCCAUAGCCACCGUUUUUAUCACCUGCGUCGAACAUCGAAAUCCCAUAGUCACCGGAGAUGCAACUCUGAUGCCGGAGGUCUUUCUGCCUCAUUUCCUCUCUCCCUCAUCUCCUUAUUUUUUCAUUUUGGUUCUUUCAUGGAGUAAAUACUAGAUUUGGCCGAGUUUUUUGGUUUUUGGCCGAGAAAUAACAUUUCCGGCAGCCACAUACUAUUGUCGUACAUUUUGGCCGGAGUCACAACCUUCGCCAGUGACCUUAUUGCCUUUCUGGUAGCCCGGUGCUUUGUCUCUGUUUUUGUCAUAUUUUCCGGUGAGCUCCGAGUUUGUCGAGGUCCCCCGGUUCGAGUUUUCCGUUUAGUUGGUGACUCGGGUAGUGUUUGAGUUAUAUCGGUACUCUCUUCCUCGAUGUAUUCAGAGAAAUUCAAUAUUUAAACAAAUUUCAAAGCUUCUGUUCAUUUAAUGGUCAGCUUUCUGUUUGCUAGCAUUUUGAUACUGUCUUUCUGUGUGGAUUAUGAUUUUGCAUCACUGUGUUUAGUUCACAUUAAGUAUUUUCCUAUCUUUGGUUAGUUAGUAUCUUUGGCUUCUAUUAUUUGACAAGAAAUAAGGGAACUGUUGCCAUUGAUAAUGGAACCAAUAUAUGAUGAUAGAGUAGAGUUUCACGAGUCUGAUAUGCUAGCUUACUGCAAAGAUAAUCACAUAGAACUUGAAAGAAUUGGUGGAUGCAUACUGCAGAUUCUUAAUCCUAAUCUAGAUGCAAUGUCAAAGUUGAUUACUAAAAAUGCUAUUGAAGGAUUUUUGCAUUCAUUAAGCAAUUAUUGUCAAAAACUGAAACAUCACACGAUAUGGUUUACAUGUGUUGUAGCUGCUCAAUGACAAAUGUUUUUUUGCUUUAAGUUUUCUUUCUUUUUUAUAAAAGAUUGUUGAAUAAGUACAUUGUUUUCCUUUGAGUUUACAUAGUUAUCAAAAUUAGUGUAUUCAUUUGUUAGAUUAGCCGUUAACUUUUAAGAGGAAAAUGGAAACUACAUAGUAUAAAUGAUUCUUAUAAUUCCAAUAGCUAAGCCACAGACAUCUCUUCCACGACAAUGUCCAUAACUCUUGGCCUCACAAUAAUCUCAAAUUAGUUUAGGAAAAUGACUUAUGAACAUCGUAGCUUGCUUUAAGCACGAUUAAUAAUAAUAAUAACUUAUUGUGGCUAUGUGUACGACUCUCGUGGCAUGGUCACGAUAUGUAAUUCUCAUUCGGGUGUGCAUUUCAUGUGACCCAACCAUAACUUCGAACAUUAAUUAAAAUAAACAUGUUGUGAAUUGCGGGUGCAUUUCAUGUGACGCGAUUCGCAAUAUGUACAAAAAAAAACAAGUGUACGACAUCGUGACUCGUUCAAAUAAAUUUCAUAAAUCCUAAAAAAGCGGUUAUAAAGUUAAAAAUGCACAAUAAAUUUAAAACAAGUAAUGAAUCAGAUGACUAGGCCAAUUAUUAAUAGUUAAGUAACCGUGCUAGAACCACGGAACCCGGGAAUGCCUAACACAUUCUCCCGGGUUAACAGAAUUCCUUAUCUAGUUUUUUGGUUUCGCAGACUUUUAAAUAAAGUCAAAAUUUCCUCAAUUUGAGAUUUUAAAAUAAACCGGUGACUUGGGACAUCAUAAUAAAUAUUUCAAGUGGCGACUCUGAAAAUAAAAUAAAUAAUCCCAUAUCGAAUAAUGUCACUUAAAGUGGAAAAACUCUUUUAUAUUUCCUCUCGGGUAAAAAGGAGGUGUGACAUCUAUACAUUGCUGUCGAGCAUGCCCGUGAGUCUUAUACUGUGAUUGUUAUGGUUCCUAUUAUAUACUAUUCAUGCCUAAACUGACGAUUAUCCAUGUUGAACAAGACUUGUGGUAUUUUCCUAGUAAUUGACCUUUGUUGAGUAUUGACUCAAGUUGAGAUUCAUUUUGUGAAGUUAACUGUUGGGACAAGAUUGGUUAUAGCUGAUUCCCUUACCGGGAUGUAUUAGUUCAAUGUUGGUUCCCUUGCCGGGAUGUUAUUAUUUUUCUAUUUUUUGGGUGAGGAAAUAGUGAUAAAGCACGAAGGGUGAUGCCGUGCACAUUCAUACUUAUGCAUAUCGCGAGGAAGAGUGAUAAAGCACGAAGGGUGAUGCCGUGCACAUUUCUAAUAUUCAUAUGGUGAGGAAGAGUGAUAAAGCAUGAAGGGUGAUGCCGUACACAUUUUUCAUUAUUGAUUGCAUGGUGAGGAUUAAGAGUAAAAGCACGAAGGGUGAUGCCAUGUAUUCAUUUCCUGUUUGCUGUGAUUAAUUGCUGUCAUCGGUUCAAGUGCCUUAAUUGUUUCGUUUCCGUUACUUCUGUGUUUCCUUAUUCUGGUAUACCCCCUAGCAUGCUGCCCCUUCCCGUUAAUUUAUGUUAGAUUCUAUAACUUUUAUUCUGUUAGAUAUUGUUUAACUGCAUAGGUUAUGAUGUUGGUCGUGUCAUAGCCUUGUCACUACUUCACCGAGGAUAGGCUCGACACUUACUAGUAUAUGAGGUCGGUUGUAUUGAUACUACACUCUGCACUUUUUGUGCAGAUCAUGGUACUGGACCCGACAGAUCGUAGAUAGAGGUUGCUGCCUUUAGUGUAGUGGAGACCCGAGGUAGUCCUGCAGAUGUCCGUAUGCCUUGGCGCCCCCUUCUAUCCUGCUUCCUUCUGUUUUAUCUAUUUCUGAGAGAGAUUUGUAUUUUUUUGUUCAGACCACUAUUUGUAGUCUUCAUAGACAGUCUGUGAGAUUGUGACACCAGUUCUGAGUGGAGUUUUAUUAUAGUUUCGUAAUUGUACUAAGUUAAACUGUUAAAUUCUGUUCUUCUGCAUUUUGAUUUCCGC
RNAcentral lists this long non-coding RNA (3042 nucleotides) under Nicotiana tabacum (common tobacco). RNAcentral's name for it is "long non-coding RNA (NTAB_LNC003281)". The record is from RNAcentral. Lineage: Eukaryota; Viridiplantae; Streptophyta; Magnoliopsida; Solanales; Solanaceae.